Molecule: ribosomal RNA, 565 nt
Filed under: uncultured Clostridiaceae bacterium
Lineage: Bacteria; Bacillati; Bacillota; Clostridia; Eubacteriales; Clostridiaceae
Description: partial 16S ribosomal RNA
Rfam family: Bacterial small subunit ribosomal RNA
Source: RNAcentral
ACUCCUACGGGAGGCAGCAGUGGGGAAUAUUGCACAAUGGGCGAAAGCCUGAUGCAGCAACGCCGCGUGAGUGAUGAAGGCCUUCGGGUUGUAAAMCUMUGUCUUCUGGGACKAUAAYGACGGUACCAGAGGAGGAAGCCACGGCUAAMUMCGUGCCWGCAGCCGCGGUAAUACGUMGGUGGCAAGCGUUGUCSGGAUUUACUGGGCGUAAAGAAUGSSUAGGCGGAUAUUUAAKUCAGAUGUGAAAUCCCCGAGYUUAACYUGGGGGCKGCAUUUGAAACWGGAUAUCUAGAGUGCGGGAGAGGUAAGUGGAAUUCCUAGUGUAGCGGUGAAAUGCGUAGAGAUUAGGAAGAACACCAGUGGCGAAGGCGACUUACUGGACCSUAACUGACGCUGAGGCAUGAAAGCGUGGGGAGCAAACAGGAUUAGAUACCCUGGUAGUCCACGCCGUAAACGAUGGGUACUAGGUGUAGGAGGUAUCGACUCCUUCUGUGCCSCAGUUAACACAAUAAGUACCCCGCCUGGGGAGUACGGUCGCAAGAUUAAAACUCAAAGGAAUUGACGG